AUACGGAGGGUGCAAGCGUUAUUCGGAAUCACUGGGCGUAAAGCGCGCGUAGGCGGCUUAUUAAGUCAGAUGUGAAAUCCCCGGGCUCAACCUGGGAACUGCAUCUGAUACUGGUAAGCUAGAGUUUUGGAGAGGGAAGUAGAAUUUCAGGUGUAGCGGUGAAAUGCAUAGAGAUCUGAAGGAAUACCAGUGGCGAAGGCGACUUCCUGGCCAAAAACUGACGCUGAGGUGCGAAAGCGUGGGUAGCAAACGGGAUUAGAAACCCUAGUAGUCC
RNAcentral lists this ribosomal RNA (274 nucleotides) under uncultured bacterium. RNAcentral describes it as "partial 16S ribosomal RNA". It matches the Rfam family "Bacterial small subunit ribosomal RNA", at positions 523 to 796 of the family's 1533-position model. The record is from RNAcentral.